RNAcentral lists this ribosomal RNA (468 nucleotides) under uncultured bacterium. RNAcentral describes it as "partial 16S ribosomal RNA". It matches the Rfam family "Bacterial small subunit ribosomal RNA", at positions 28 to 507 of the family's 1533-position model. The record is from RNAcentral.
GACGAACGCUGGCGGCGUGCUUAACACAUGCAAGUCGUACGGAAAGGCCCUGCUUUUGUGGGGUGCUCGAGUGGCGAACGGGUGAGUAACACGCGAGUAACCUGCCCUUGACUUUGGGAUAACUUCAGGAAACUGGGGCUAAUACCGGAUAGGAGCUCCUGCUGCAUGGUGGGGGUUGGAAAGUUUCGGCGGUUGGGGAUGGACUCGCGGCUUAUCAGCUUGUUGGUGGGGUAGUGGCUUACCAAGGCUUCGACGGGUAGCCGGCCUGAGAGGGGGACCGGCCACAUUGGGACUAAGAUACGGCCCAGACUGCUACGGGAGGCAGCAGUGGGGAAUAUGGCACAAUGGGCGGAAGUCUGAGGCAGCAACGCCGCGUGCGGGAUGACGGCCUUCGGGUUGUAAACCGAUUUCGCCUGAGACGAAGCGUGAGUGACGGUAAUGGGUAAAGAAGCACCGGCUAACUACGUG